Molecule: ribosomal RNA, 253 nt
Filed under: uncultured bacterium
Lineage: Bacteria
Description: partial 16S ribosomal RNA
Rfam family: Bacterial small subunit ribosomal RNA
Source: RNAcentral
UACGGGGGGGGCAAGCGUUGUUCGGAAUUACUGGGCGUAAAGGGCUCGUAGGCGGCCAACUAAGUCGGACGUGAAAUCCCCAGGCUCAACCUGGGAACUGCGUCCGAUACUGGAUGGCUUGAAUCCGGGAGAGGGAUGCGGAAUUCCGGGUGUAGUGGUGGAAUGCGUAGAGAUCCGGAGGAACACCAGCGGCGAAGGCGGCAUCCUGGACUGGUCCUGACACUCAGGAGCGAAAGCGUGGGGAGCGAUCCGG